RNAcentral lists this ribosomal RNA (481 nucleotides) under uncultured bacterium. Its description in RNAcentral is "partial 16S ribosomal RNA". It matches the Rfam family "Bacterial small subunit ribosomal RNA", at positions 28 to 507 of the family's 1533-position model. The record is from RNAcentral.
GACGAACGUUGGCGGCGUGCUUAAUACAUGCAAGUCCACUGAAGCAGUGGUAGCAAUAUCGCUGUGGAGGUGGCGCACGGGUGAGUAACACGUAGGUAAUCUGCCUUCAGGUCUGGCAUAACUCCGGGAAACCGGGGCUAAUAGCAGAUGAUGCAGCGGCUCGACAUCGAGACAGUUGUUAAAGCUAUGGCGCCUGAAGAUGAGCCUGCGUCUGAUUAGCUAGUUGGCGGGGUAACGGCCCACCAAGGCAACGAUCAGUAGCUGGUCUGAGAGGAUGAUCAGCCACACUGGAACUGAGACACGGUCCAGACUCCUACGGGAGGCAGCAGUAAGGAAUAUUGCUCAAUGGGAGAAAUCCUGAAGCAGCAACGCCGCGUGAGGGACGAAGGGCUUUGGCUUGUAAACCUCUGUAGUGAGAGAAAAAAAUCCCAAUCUUUGGGACAUGAUGGUAUCUCAAAAGUAAGCCCCGGCUAACUACGUG